RNAcentral lists this transfer RNA (337 nucleotides) under Carnobacterium alterfunditum. Its description in RNAcentral is "medium 16S-23S rRNA intergenic spacer". The stretch from base 106 to 178 matches the Rfam family "tRNA". Lineage: Bacteria; Bacillati; Bacillota; Bacilli; Lactobacillales; Carnobacteriaceae. The record is from RNAcentral.
CUAAGGAAUAUAACGGAAACCCACACAUUCAUCUUACCUUUGUUUAGUUUUGAGAGGUCAAUAAUCUUUCUUCUAUAUACAAGUGAUAAAUUUAUAAAAGCUCUUGGGGCCUUAGCUCAGCUGGGAGAGCGCCUGCCUUGCACGCAGGAGGUCAGCGGUUCGAUCCCGCUAGGCUCCAUUGCAACUUUAGUUGCGAAAAAAAUUGUUCUUUGAAAACUGGAUAAAGUUAAAAAUCGUAAUUUAAGUAAGAAACCAGAAACACACCGAAAUUUUUAAAUAAUAAGUUUUUUAAGGUUCUCAUCGAAAGAUGAGUAUUAAACAUUAACGAUUAACCAUA